RNAcentral lists this ribosomal RNA (301 nucleotides) under uncultured bacterium. Its description in RNAcentral is "partial 16S ribosomal RNA". It matches the Rfam family "Bacterial small subunit ribosomal RNA", at positions 509 to 807 of the family's 1533-position model. The record is from RNAcentral.
CAGUCGCCGCGGGAAUACGAAGGGGGCUAGCGUUGCUCGGAAUGACUGGGCGUAAAGGGCGCGUAGGCGGUUCGUACAGUCAGAUGUGAAAUUCCUGGGCUUAACCUGGGGGCUGCAUUUGAUACGUGCGGGCUUGAGUGGGGAAGAGGGUCGUGGAAUUCCCAGUGUAGAGGUGAAAUUCGUAGAUAUUGGGAAGAACACCAACGGCGAAAGCACUCUGCUGGGCCGACACUGACACUGAGAGACGAAAGCUAGGGGAGCAAAUGGGAUUAGAUACCCCUGUAGUCCCUGUCUCUUAUAC